UCCCCAGUGGCUCAGAGGUUAAAGUGUCUGCCUCCAAUGCAGGAGACCCAGGUUCGAUCCCUGGAUCAGGAA
This 72-nucleotide transfer RNA is filed under the name Ovis aries (sheep). It matches the Rfam family "tRNA". Rfam says of the family: Transfer RNA (tRNA) molecules are approximately 80 nucleotides in length. The record is from Rfam by way of RNAcentral. Lineage: Eukaryota; Metazoa; Chordata; Mammalia; Artiodactyla; Bovidae.